This 439-nucleotide ribosomal RNA is filed under the name uncultured bacterium. RNAcentral's name for it is "bacterial SSU rRNA". It matches the Rfam family "Bacterial small subunit ribosomal RNA", at positions 28 to 507 of the family's 1533-position model. The record is from RNAcentral.
GAUGAACGCUAGCGACAGGCCUAACACAUGCAAGUCGAGGGGCAGCACGAAUCAAGCUUGCUUGAUUUGGUGGCGACCGGCGCACGGGUGCGUAACAGGUGUGCAAUCUGUCCAUAAUCGGGGAAUAGCCCAGCGAAAGAUUUAUCGGUAACGGAUGAGGAUGCGUACGAUUAGCUGGUUGGCGGGGUAACGGCCCACCAAGGCUACGAUCGUUAGGGGUUCUGAGAGGAAGGUCCCCCACACUGGAACUGAGACACGGUCCAGACUCCUACGGGAGGCAGCAGUGAGGAAUAUUGGUCAAUGGUCGAGAGACUGAACCAGCCAAGUAGCGUGAAGGAUGACUGCCCUACGGGUUGUAAACUUCUUUUGUUUGGGAAUAAAUGAUACUACGUGUAGUAUUUUGCAUGUACCUUACGAAUAAGCAUCGGCUAAUUCCGUG